Molecule: non-coding RNA, 136 nt
Organism: Triticum aestivum (bread wheat)
Lineage: Eukaryota; Viridiplantae; Streptophyta; Magnoliopsida; Poales; Poaceae
Source: Rfam
UGUGUACUCCUUCCAUUCCAAAAUACUUGACUUACAUUUGUCCAAAAAUGGAUGUGCCUAUAUACUAAAACAUGUCUAGAUACAUAUAUAUUUUGACAAAUAGAAGGCAUGUAUUGUGCAAUGGAGGGAGUAGAAU